GUGGGGAAUAUUGGACAAUGGGCGCAAGCCUGAUCCAGCCAUGCCGCGUGAGUGAUGAAGGCCCUAGGGUUGUAAAGCUCUUUCACCGGUGAAGAUAAUGACGGUAACCGGAGAAGAAGCCCCGGCUAACUUCGUGCCAGCAGCCGCGGUAAUACGAAGGGGGCUAGCGUUGUUCGGAUUUACUGGGCGUAAAGCGCACGUAGGCGGAUCGUUAAGUCGGGGGUGAAAUCCUGGAGCUCAACUCCAGAACUGCCUUCGAUACUGGCGAUCUUGAGUCCGGAAGAGGUGAGUGGAACUCCUAGUGUAGAGGUGGAAUUCGUAGAUAUUAGGAAGAACACCAGUGGCGAAGGCGGCUCACUGGUCCGGUACUGACGCUGAGGUGCGAAAGCGUGGGGAGUAAACAGGAUUAGAUACCCCUGUAGUCC
RNAcentral lists this ribosomal RNA (425 nucleotides) under uncultured bacterium. Its description in RNAcentral is "partial 16S ribosomal RNA". It matches the Rfam family "Bacterial small subunit ribosomal RNA", at positions 354 to 796 of the family's 1533-position model. The record is from RNAcentral.